Molecule: long non-coding RNA, 42973 nt
Filed under: Gossypium barbadense (sea-island cotton)
Lineage: Eukaryota; Viridiplantae; Streptophyta; Magnoliopsida; Malvales; Malvaceae
Description: long non-coding RNA (GBAR_LNC013876)
Source: RNAcentral
GGGAAACAAACGAACUUGAUGCACCAGGAAGAAGAAGAUUAAGAUGGGUUCAAAAAUAUUUCAUGAUUUAUAACUAUUGCACUGAUUUGAAACGUUUCCCUCAAGGUGUUCCACCAGAGUGUAAACGCCCAAGGUUCUAAAAUCAAACCUGUUCCACCAGAGUGUAAACGCCCAGGGUUCUAAAAUCAAACCUCUCCUCUUUUCCAUGUAAUAUAUUCUUUUUUUCACUACUUUCUUACUAUGUAUUCAAGUUGAAUAAGUUAUUAUUAUUAUUAUUAUUCUUUUUAUGUAUUUUUAUUUCUCUUUGUUGCUUCUUAAAUCAUCUUGAAAAUAGAUGUAAAUUCCCUGUUUCUGAUAAUAAAAUUUUCCUCUUUUUGAGUAUUUAAUAUUCAUUCAACUUCAAAGUAAUUCUUCCCCUACCACAGAGGUAAUCUCCUUUCAAGAUAAAUUGAAUGACAUAGAAAUUAUUAAGAUAUUUUUAAUAUGAUGCAGUGCUUUCAUACAAUCUGUUUCUAACAACUCAUCACAAUAAUCAUAUUCUCAAAUUUGCUCAACACAAUCGCCUCGCCUCAUAAACACGAGCCAGAUGCAUCCGGAUUGUAAUCUAAAAACAUUAAUAGCCGACUGAAAUGUAGAUUGAAAUGCUUUAGGAAGGAAAAAAGAAACUCCACUUUUUUAAUCUAAAUUUUAAUUUUACCAAUUUUUAAGUUGAUUUCUGGUUUCGAUUUCUUGUUGGAACAAUAAAUGUAAUUCAAUAAUCUUUAUAUCAGCAAGUGGGAAUUAAUGACAAAUUUUAAAAAUGAGUACCAAGAUUUUUUAUUUAAUAAUAAUAUAAAUUUUUUUCUUAGUAAUUAUGGGGCAGAAGGUCGUACGAAUUAUGGGGCAAAUUUAUGGAACUAAAGAGCUUUUGUUUUUAUGUGUGUCAAAGGAUAAGGCUUUCCUGUCCUGAGGGAAGUGAAAUAGGAUCACGAUGCAAUGCAUGCACCAGUUUUCACCAACUUUAUUAUUAUUAAAUUAGGGGUAAAUUAUCAUUUAGUCUCUAAAUUUAAUACUUUCUUCAUCUUGAUCCUUGAUCAUUAAUUUCCUAUUUUGGACGAUUUUUUUAAUUUGAUUUUUGAAAUGGCAUGUCACUCUAAUAUCAUACACAUUAUCACUCUAAAAUUUCCAAUUGAUGAUAUGUUAGAAUCUUAUGUAUUAUAUUUUAAUAGAAUCUAAAUACAAGGACUAAUUUUGAAAAAGAAAUUGUCAAAUUUCGAAAUUAAUCCCAAAAAAAUAAAGAUAUUAUUAAAUGAUAAGGAAAGGGGCUUCACCGAGUUCCAGACUGUGAAACUGCAGCUACAGUCCAAAAAUUAUAGGAUAAGCCUAGAAAAAUAGCCAUCACAUCACGUGAAGAAGGGGUGGUGUGACUCUUUUUAUAAAUUUUUGUAUACCAAUUUAGUUUUUUAAAGUCUUGUUAUAAAAUCAAUUAUAUUUUUACUCUUAUUUUAGAAAAUAAAUAAAUUAAUUUUCAUAUAUUAGAAUAAAAAGUAAAUUAAUUUUUUGUUAAAGUUUUUAUGUAUUUUGACGAAAAAAUUGGUGCCAUGUGUUCUAUAUGUUGACAUAUAUUGACUGGUUUUUAAUAGUAGAAAUAGAUGAAUUUUUUAAUAUAAUGAUCAGUUUGUUCUUUGAUCUAAAGUAUAAAAAUUAAUUUAUUAUCUAAUACAAUCUAACUCCUAGUACAAAGGUCUCAAUAAUACUUUUACUUGUUUUUUGGGUCCGUUUUAUCAUUCUUGAAAACUAAUCCUUAAUGUCAUCUUUUGGGUCCGUUUUAGUACUUGAAUUUAUAAUUAGAUUCAUUUUAAUUCUUAAAUUUAAAAAUAUAAAAAUUUGAUAAUAUGUUAAUAUUAUAUCAUAUUAUCACUUGAAAAUUAAAAUUUUAAAUAAUGAUGUGAUACAAUUGUUAGAUAUAACAAUAACUAAAUAAAUAAUUAAAAAUUCAUAAAAUUUUUAAAGAAUAAAAAAUUAUUAAAUUGGUUCAAUUACUGAUUUUUAUCCUAGUUUCAAAGUGAUUUUUAAUUCAAUUAAUUCAACCACUUUGUUCGAACUAAUAUAUCAACAAUCGAUGUUCGAUCUAAUUAAUCCAACAAAUCAAUUCAACCAUGUUCUAAUAACACUAAUCAUAUCAUUAAAUCUUAACGGGAUCCAAGUUCAAACACCAACAAUUAUAUUAUUCCCAUGUAAAAUAGUCUUAUUUUCCCAAUCAAUUUUUGGGUGCUGCCCAUUGUUUUAAAGCAAUAAAACCCAGUUAAUAAUCAUUGUUUCAAACCAAUUUGCCUGUCAUUCAUUUUUAUGUCACAAAGGGAUUAAUCCAAUUACCAAAAAAGAAAUUUUCUUUAUGAAUUAUCCAUCGAUUAAUAAUCAUAAUUUUGAGACAUCAAAAGAUAAUUGAUAGGCAAUCAAAGAAGAUCCACAUUCUUUUACAUAAUAAUAAGUAUAUACAGAACUAUAGAAAUACAAGUGAAAACCAAUUCCAUAACAAUCAUUCAAUCAUAACUGACAUGCACAAGUUUUCUUUUUCUUUGCUUCAUUUUUCCUCUCAUUCAAAUUGGAUGCUUGGUUCAAUCACAGGAUGACUUCAAAGCCAUGUGUGUACUCGAAUGCAUGAAAAUACCCAUAUCUAACACUCACACCAGGAGUAACGUUGCUUCAUAGCUAACUAUGAAAAGCAAAAAUCACAAAGAAAUCACACUAACUGCCAUUGCAAUAGUUUCCCCUGACUUUGAAGCUAUUUAUUCGAUGAAUCGGCUAUUGGAAUGACUUGUUCUUCUAAAUAACUGGCGAAUCUCACUCUUGGUCGCUGCCCACACUACAUGAACAAGAACUUAGAUUGUAAGGCAAGCAUGGAUCAAAAUGCUUAUGGACAGCAAAGUGCAAACUAUACUUACUGGCAUUCUGCAAUGGAUGUUUAGAUCAUAGUUCAUUUCGCCGAGACGGGAUUUCGCAACUUCUUCAGCUUUGGAGGCCUUUUUACAAGCUUCUUUAACCUGAAUUGAGCAUGUUGGAAAUUUAGCACAAAUUUAUAUACUUAUGUCUAGUCUAAACCAAGUAUAUGGACAAGAGUUCUUUUCAUAUUCACCACAUUGAUUAACAUGGUAGACUGAUCUUUAGCAGCACCAAAAGCAGAUUUUUCCAAAAUAUUCCGUAGGAAUGACAACUCUUUAAUCAAAUCUAAGGCCACUUCUUCAGCAUCUAGCAUCUGAUUUCUCGAGAAUUCAAAUGAUCUCUCUGCGUGAAGCCGAAAAGAAGAGCAGUUCAGACAAGUACAAAUACCUCUACAACCAGGAGGAUUUCUUUUAAGAAUUCCUUUUUUGAGACCAACAAUAGGAAUUGCUGGAGUAAUAGAGGCUUCUCCAAAGCUAUCAGCUUCAAUUUGAUUUACAUGGUUUGCACAUUUCACAAUAGACUUUAUGGCAUCCCCUUCGGUUUCUAAGGGUAACUGAUAAGACACUGGUUUAGCACUGAUGAUAGAUGACACGGAUGGUGGCUCAACCACAAGUUCGGGGUUCGUUUCUUCUAGCCUCUGGUUUGCAUCCAAUGCAGCAUUUUUACCAAGUGUUGCCUGUUCCUGUUGCAAACCGAUAGCAGUAGCUGCAGUCACUGUGAGCCUAAUACGGUCACUAUGCUCUACAUGAGAACUUUUGCAAUUGGAAGCUCCGGUGCCUGCAUCUUUGCCAGGAACACCUGAUAAAGCAAGCAUACAAGUGAAAAGGUUACAAAAAGACUCGCAAUCGAUUCUUAAAACAAUAGAAUUACGAGAAAGUGAGAAGCAUUGGAUGUGCAAGAGACGGCCUAGGAAGUAAAGAACUCACAGGAGUAAUCAUUUGCUAUGUCUAUCAAAAAUGGAAGCAAUCUUUUAUAACUGAAUGAGCCAGGUAUUUUAGAUAACUUCGGAUGCAACCGUGAAUAUGGAACCUAUUCAACAUCACAAGGCCAAUAUUAUUAGCAAAUGAGUUACCAUAGUUGAAAAAACUUGCAGCUUGAUAGCAUCUUACCAACUUGUUCUUAGGACUUGUGUCUAAGCUUUUAUCACUAGGGGUUUCGUUCAUCGACUUUUCAACAUCAGUCUUGGAUUUAAACAUGUCAGAAUCCAGUCGAGUCAUUGGAAGACAUUGUCCAUUCAAGUCUUCAAUUUGUUCCACAGCUUCACCAUCAUUUACUUCAAUCUCAGACUGCUGUAAAUCACCAUUAGAACUUGGUGGAACUUCAUUAUAAUCACCAGCUUCACACUUAUUUUCAACCAUAGACAAAGUCUGGUCCAAAACUUCUAGACUUUGAGCAUCACAAGAAGAUUCAACAUUAAUUUUUGCAACAUCAUCAUCAUCAUCAUCUGCCAACAUUUCAUCACUAGAAACAACACCACCCGAAGAGCAAUUCGAAUUCGGGUCUUCACAUUGCAACUCAAAUUUCUUAACCUCUCCAUUAAAAAGUGUCAUCAUAGAUUCAUCCAAUACCAUAUUCAACUCCUUAACAGAAUCACUAUUAUGACCCUCCAAAAAGCAAUCACUCGCCGCAGAUUUAUCACCCAAUGCUUCUUCAACAUUUGAACCCACCAUGCUCUUCUCUUCAAAAUCCUUUUCAGUUUUUUGACAAUGACCCAUUAUUGGGGACCCUGUGAAGAAUCAUAUGCAAUAAUGUUAUAAUCCCAUAGUUCCUUUUGCAACCAAAGCUUGAAAAGGUAACAAAACCAAAGUAAGGAAUUACCAGAAGAUUCUUUUUUGAUAUCCAUCAAAUAAGGAAGCAAUCUUCUAUAACUGAACGAGCCUGGCGUUUUGAAAAGCUUCUCUUGAGAACAUGGUCUACGAACCUACACGAAACCCCACAUACACAACCGCCAUUAAAAACAGAUUAAUUAACUCAAAUUAUGAACAAGAUGAACAUAAUUUUCAACAUAUAGCAAAAAAAGUACCAACCAGGACAUUACUUUAAACAAAAAAUUAAAACCUUACUGUUUUUAUUGAACAAUUGAUGCCGUUUCUGUCUUCAUUAAACCCCUUUUCUUUGCAUUCAUCAUGUAUCUUCAUGUCUUCACUUCCGUUUCUUUCAAACUCUUGCUUAACUCCAAGGAUCUCAGCAUCUGGUGGGGUAGAUUGCCCAAAUUCCUCAAAAUCCCCAUUUUCACAACCUUUUUUCUUUUCAGCCAAACAAUCCCCAGCAACCUCACUUUUCCCCAGAUUCUCGGCACCAUCCAAACAAUUAGGAAUUACCCCAUCAGUAGAAGAAGGGGAGAAGACCCGUCUUAACCGGAGAUCUUUGAUGGAUAAAUCGUACCCCACCGACGAAUCUUCAGCCAGUGAGCUUUUUUUGGGUUUUUUGAGAAAGGGUUGCGGACGUCGGUGGUUUCCUCCGCCGACGGACUGGGUUCGGGAUUUUCCCGACCGGUUGCGAUGAAUAUGGAUCUGGGAUUUGCUACGAGUUAUAGUUCCCAUUAAGGGAUGAAGAGAUGGCCGCUUCCGUUUCUUAGAGAUUCCCUUUGAGUACUCCAUCGUAAACCCUCAGAGGAACGGUGCUUGUGAGCUAGAAUGAAGAGAUUAAUGGAGUUUCGCGGGAAAAAGAGGGAUGAUAAAAUGUAUUUGAUUGCAGAGCGGGAAAACGUGUGCUAAGCUUGGCGGGAAAUAAUAUGGAUUUGGGCCUUACCAUUUAUGAACUUGCUUUCAAAAAAAGCCCAUUAUAUUUUUUUCCUCAGUCCGAAUUCGAGUUGGAUCAAAUCCUUAAACAAAAAAUAAAAUUCCCCCGAUAUUAUUUUAAGAUCAAACUUCUUACAACUCGAUUAAACCGGUGGUAAUAAAAAUUACGUGGCAUUUUAUGGAAUAAUACAAAAUAAUUUGAUUUGGCUUAUUUAUUUUUAUUUUACAAUUGAAUACAUUUUUGCACAUUCAAAAAAAAAAUUAAUAAUAUCAAUACACCCACAUGUUUAAAAAACACUAAGCUACGUUAACUUAUUUUAAGAAAUUAAGAGAAAAAUUAAUCCUCAAAAUAUAUAUUUCGAAAUUUUAAAAACUUAGAGAUGAUGAAAUUAUAAUUAAAAUUUUAACUUUUCUUAAAUGUACCUAAAUUAUUAUUUAAUAAUAAAAUAUUUUUAUUUAAAUUACUUAUAAAAAUAUUAAUAGAGUACUAAAUCGAUAUAUUUGUGUGCUUUAUUUCGAUAAACCAUAUUAUUAAUUUUGGUGCUUAUUAUUAAAUUUCUAUUGUAAAUUUAAAAUGUAAUGAUUUAGGCAUGAUAGCAAUAUGACGUACAAGAUUUUUUUUAAAAAAAUUAAGAUUAUUUUUAUCUAAAUAUUAUUUGUACUUAUAUUUAUUAAAUCUUUUAUAUUUUGUUUAGAUAAAUAUUUAAUUUUUUUUAAUUUUAGGAUUAGAACACUAAAAAUUAAUUUUCUGAAAUUUAAAGGGGAAUGACGGCGCUACUUUUGCUUCGGAAUUUCGGGCAAGGAAUAAAAAAUUCGCUUUUUCUUUUCUUUAUUUUAGUUUUAUUUUCUUUUUAAAUUCUUCUAUCAUAAGCAACUAAAUUAUUUUCUAGUUAAAGGUCGAUAAAAUUUCGGUAUUUGAAUUGUGAGAUCUAAAAUUGUACUUAAUCAUUUUCAUUUGGGCAUUCAGUCUUUUUUUUUUUUCAGUUCAAGAGAUAGAUAGGAUGGUCUCAUACUAUUGUUUUUAGUGUUGUUUUAAGAAGGAUUUUUUGUACAGUGUUGGGAACGAUACACAAUUAGUACAAUUAAUUCCGCGUGAAAUUACUUUACCAAAGAACAAGUUGGCGUGGUUCGAUUGGGAGUGUAAUUGGGUGAUGCCAUGAGAUUAAGUGAUUUGAUUUAAAUGAUCUACGGGGUUAAGAUCGUUAAUUAGAGUCAGGUUCUUCCAGUUUGCAAGGUUGUCGACGGACUAAAUCGUGAAUGUGUCUUUCUAGGGUUAUUCGUUCGGCAAGGGUACAUCAUUGGACGAUUCCCACGAUUAAUUUAUAAUUAAGGAAGAAUUGGUGGUUGAGACAUCUAUGAUUACUAUAACUGGUUUACCAGUGAGCAAGAAGACAUCCAUAAUCUGAAGAGGAAGGUAUUGUUUACAAAGUUGCCAAGAAGAAACAACCUUCGAAAUCAAAUAAGCCACCAUCUUUAAUAGCUCUUUGCAUUACUUAUAAUGUGAACCACCAUAAUUUUAAUGGCUUUUUGUACCAUCUACAAUGUGAACUACUAUCGUUGUUAACCCUAACAUUUUGUAUAAUUUACAUUUGUACUCUUUCUUUUCCCUUUACCCUUUAAUGAAACCAAAAACAUAAUAGAAGAAAGGGCUCGUGUAAGAAAUAGAAGAAUAAAUAAAUUAAAUAUAUGACUAACCAAGGUGAGCUUCAAUCAUUUUAAUUUUAUUUAUGCUUGCCUUGAGUAAAAUAGUAAGCUCUUACACUCAAAUCAAAUCAAACUUAAGGCAAAUAGAAUGAGCAAAGAUGCCUUAUUUGAACUUGAUUGAAAUCUACCUAUCUCGGUUUAUAAAUAUAGGGUUAAGUAAAAUUCGAUUCGAUUUGAAAAAUUCGAUAAAAAAUUUAAAUUUCGAAUUAAAUAGUUAAAGUUAUUUGAGUUAAUCAAGUUAUUCAGAUCAACUCGAAUAAAAAAAUUAAGUUUUUCAGUUUAACUCGAAUAUGAAUUACACAAUUCGAGUUAUCUGAAAAUCCGAAUAAAUAAAGGCAAAACUACGUCAUUUUGAUAAAUGUUUACCUAUUCUAAAGUUAAAAGUCAAAAUCAUUAAGUUAAAAGGCAAAACUAUAUAGUUUUGAUAAAUAUUUACUAAUUAAGUUAAAAGGCAAAAUUAUUAUAUUUGUUUAUGUAGUUAAUCAAUCUUGUACUCUGUCUACUAGUUAAAUAAUUGAUCCAUGUAACUAUAACAUUGAGUAUAAAUAAUAGGAUUCAUUAACUCAACUCGACUUAACUUAAAUUUUUUUUUACUCGAUUCAAUUCGGAAAAAAUUCAAAUUGAGUUCGGUUGCUAAAAUAGAAUUCAUCAACUCGACUAACUCAAAAUUUUUUAACUCAGAUUCGACUCGAUCGAAUACUCACCCUUAUAUAAAUAAACCUAAUUAAGUAAAGGUAACCAAAAAAAACCCUAAAUCAUCAAGUUUCAAUCUAUUAUAAGUAAAAAAUUUGAUUUUUCUAUUAAAAUUUUUUAUCACUAGAUAAAAUUUGCCCGUCUACCUUAUAUAUUUACAAAAAUACAAUUUUUUUAUAAUUUUUAAUAUAAUUUAUUAUUUUUUAUAAGAAUUUACUAAAGAUGCAUAGAGUUCAUAAAUAUUUCAUUUAUUUUUAUUUAAAACUUCACAUGUAUUAAGUAUGUAUUAAGUACAUACUCUUAAGAAAAUUUUAAGUUUAUAAUUUAAUUACUAAUUGAGUGUUAGUUUAACUAGUAUUAGUAUUAUUGUCGAUUCAAGAGGUUAUGAUUUUAAGUGUACUAAUACGUAUUAUCAUUCUAUUUAAGGGUCGAGAGUAGUUUCUAUCUAAAAAACAAAUAUAAUAAAAACCUAUAAUGAAAUUAAUGAUAAAUAUUGGUGCACAAGUAAACUAAGCCAAACCAAGGAAACCAAGAAGAACAACCUGCUAAAAUUUAGCUAGGUGCUAACAAAACCAGCGCCAAGCAUUCAAACAGAUUAAAACCAGCUUUGAACUUUCGCUUAAUCUCCCAAAAAAAGAGGAUUAAAGAGAAACGAAAACCAAUUCAUUUAAUUACACAUCUUGAUCUUCAUAUUCUUUACAUUCUGGUCCUUUAUAAUCAAAGGCUUGGUAGAACUGUAAAUGAAAUCAAUCGAUUUAAACUUCCUUCUCCUUGGCUGAAGAUGCUCCUCUUCUUCCUCCUCCAUCUCCAAUGGGUUGCUUUUCUCUUUCGUUUUCUUCGACCCUUUGUCGCCAUUGAUGUAUUGUUUACAAAGCUGCAUCAGCUGACGAGCUACAUCCAUCUCUAUCGCUGAGAAACUGGUGGGUUUUUGGCGUUUACAAGGAGAUGAGGGUUUCGCCAUCGUUGCUUCUAUUGUGCAAUUCGUAUUUUAAUGGAGAUGAAGGGGACUUGGUCUAUAUAUAGGUGAACGUAAACCGACUUAAUUAAAUUUUCUACUAGCCGACAGGGAAUUCUUAUGCAAUGCGUCUACGUGUAGGGAAAGUCCUGGAUAAAAUUUUAGAGCUAAACUUUAACAGCAAGUCAUUAUUGGGCUAAGCUUUAAGGCAUUCCGUCAUAAUGAAUAAGAUUUCCUCGUUGGAUUUCCAUAUGUGGAUCCUUACCAUUUAUAUUUCUUAAAUCUCAUUGGCUUUUAGACUCGUAACGGUUUAAAUGUGAUAUACGUUAGAUUUUUAAUUUUUUUGAUGUAAGGAGAGAGGAGAACAUGAACGUGGCUCACAUGGUGGUAAGACAAUGAUCAUGUGGAGAGUCGUUCUAGAGGAUGUUUUGACAGAGUUUUGGCAUAAGGAAGAGUUCUACCUUCUAAUGGUUAACUAAUUAAGUGAUAUUUAUGGGUAAAGUUAGACACUUUUUUGGCUAUUGCCUUUGUAUCUUAAUGUGUGGGUCGGUCCCGGUCUACUCAUUAAGAGACAUAAUAAACUUCUAAUUGAUUGGCAAUGUAGAUAGGAGCGAUUUCACAUUUCGAGCAUGCUACAUGCUAGUGUCACUGGAUCAUUACUCUCUUUCAAAAGGAGAUAUGUGACAGGAUGUGUAGUAAAGAUGCUUAUAUAGUCCAAGACCUUUCUUUAGAACACUUGGCUUGAAAUCAAACAAUUAAGGGUUGCUCUAUACCACUUGUCACGAGGCUAUUAUUCUCUUCCCAAAAAAAUGUCUAAUAUGAUAUGCAAUUCACCUACUUCAUCCAUAAAUAAAAUAAUUAAUAGAUAAACAAAAAAGGUUAGGGUAUAUUAUAUUUUUAAAAUUUAUAUUUUUUUUAUUAUUUUGAAUGAUGUUUAGUUAAUUUCUAACACUGACUUCUUAAAAAUAAAAAAAGGGUUAUGUUGGACAAUUUCAAUCAUAAAUAAAAUAAUUAAUAAAUGUGAAAGUUCUCUGUUUUGAUUAGGAAGUUUGGGGAUAAAUUUGAUAGAAUUUAUAAAUAUAAAGAGUUAAAUUUAUUAAUUUUUUAGAAUCAAAAUCAAAAUGAUAGAAUAUAUAAGUAUUAAGGACUAAAUGUGUUAUUAAUCCAAUCUUAAUGCCCAAAUAUAUAUACCUUUACACUUUCUCAUUUAAUUUAAGCAAAAACACAAAUCUUGGUGCACAAGUAAACCAAGCCAAAUCAAGAAAACCUAAAAAUAAACAACCUGCUAAAAAUUAGCUAGGUGCUAACAAAACCAGCACCAAAGCAUUCAAACAGAUCAUUAAACCAGCUUUGAACUUCCGAUUAAUUUAAUUACACAUCAUGAUCUUCAUCUUCUUUACAUUCUUGUCCUGCAUAAUCACAGGCUUGGUAGAACUGUAAAUGAAAUCCAUCGAUUUAAACCUCCUCUUCCUCGGCUGAAGAUGCUCCUCUUCUUCAUCCUCCAAUGGAAGAUAUCGAUCCCACGGACUGCUUUCAUCGGUUUUUGCUUUCGUCUUCUUCGACCCUUUGUCACCAUUGAUGUAUUGUUUACAAAGCUGCAUCAGCUGGCAAGCUACGUCCAUCUCUAUCUCUGAGAAACCGGUGGUGGUUCUUCUGCGUUUACAUGAAGAAGUUGGUUUCACCAUUGUUGUUUGUAUUAUGUUCCGUGUAUACAACGAAGGAGACUUGGUCUAUAUAUAUAGUUGAGUGUAAAUCGACUUAAAUUAAAUUUUCUCAUAGCCGGCAGGCAUUGCUGAUGUAAUUUGUCUACGCGUACGGAAAAUACUGGAUAAUAUUUUAGAAUAAAACUUUAACUGCAAGUCAUUGAUUGGGUGUAGUUUUUUCAAGAAUAAUAAAUUUACAUGGGAUAAUCACAAAUUUAGUCCCUAAUAUUUACCCAUUUUUUCUAUUGUGACCUUAGCUGAUUUAUCUGUUAAAAUUUUAACAAUAUUAACAUGACAGUCUAUGUGUAUUUCAUUGUUGAUGUGGAUAAUUUUUUAAAAAAUAUAUUAUUUUUAUUUUUAUUUUUAUUUUUUUGAAUUUUUAUAAAGUACGCGCAAGUUACCAUGUCACUACUAUUAAAAAUUUAAUGACCCAAUCAAUUUUUUCACGUAAAAAAAUUAUUUAAAAUUUGAAAGUUUUCAUAAAAAAAACUCAGACUAAAAGAAUUUUAUUAUUUAUAUAAAAAAUAAAUAUGUCUAAAUCAUAUAAGUAUUUGUGUUUAAUGGUAUGAAAAAUACUGCCAGCUUUGAUUAUUUGGGUUUUUUAAGGGUGAGUUUAGAUGGGUGGUGCGUUUACCUAUGAUUAGUGUAAAAACAGUGGUGACGGUGAGAUUAGAUAUUGUAGCGUGAGACAAAAAGUAAGUUAAACACACUGCAUUGCACUUUACUGCUCAUCCAAACUCACUCUAAGUUAAUUAAAUUGAAAGUGACUGAAAUUCAGAUUUUGGAGGCUGAGCUAUUUUAUGGGCUUCUCUAGCAAAAGGGCCGACCAAAAGUAGAAGUAUAUAAUAAUUAGUAUAAUAUCAAUUAGGUUCUUUCAUUUAUCUAGUUUUUAAUUUAAGCUUUAAAUGUCGGUUUAGAUAUGAGGUGAAGCAUUUUUCAAAACACGUGAAUAAAAUUGUAAAUAUAUGUGUACUUAUUGUACAAACAACUUGGAUUUAACUUGUUAAAAGAAACUAACAGCAUUAUUAAAAUUUAAGAAGAUUAUUUCUUUUUCCUUUUUAAUUCAUGUUUACAAUUUGACCCACACCAUAUUUGAGUUAAAAUUUAACACUCAAGCUAAUGGCAAUUCUGAUAGAAAAACCUAAUUAUAUUAUGCUAAUACUUUAAUGACUAAAUUAGAAACGUUUUAAAAUAUACGAAUCAAUUUAGAAUAUAGAACACAAUGCGGAGAUGUUUGCCAGAUUUAACCCUACUAAUUUGGCAUCCAAAAGACCUCAAGUUUAUGUAAAUUUCAUUAUAUAUAUUAUCAUGUAAUUUGAGAAAUCUACCAAAUAUUGGUGCAUACACACAAAAAGUUUCACAAACACAAAUGUAUCUCAAUGAUUAGCAUGAUCCAAUCCGAUACAAAUAAUAAAAAAGAUUAUGAUAAAAAAAAAACAUACAUUCAAACAAUGAGUGGUCCAGGUUGAGAUUGGGCAGCCAUGGCCAUCUCGAAUUGCCUCAAAGAAAUAGAAGGGAAAGCAAUGAAGUUAUGGUCAAGUGAACUGAAAUCUUGCCAACCCUUAAAAGGGCUGUUGUUGGUUGUGGUGGUGCCAUCCAAUCCUAUGUGUGUAACAUGUUUCACAUCUGUCGGAUUCCCAAUUUCCAUCUCGGUUGUCAAUUCCUCUAUGUCUUUGUAAACUGUGAAACCCCCAAUGGGUGCUUGCUUCAUUUAGUAAUUUUGAAGGAAAUUGUAUAUGGCAUGAACACAAUGUGCUAAUUUCAAUCAAGAGUAUUUGCAUAUGGGCAUUAAUCCAUGUAAAAUUGGGAUUUUUGAAAUUAGACUUAAUUGUAAAAUUGACCCUCAAACUAUAUUAUUUUUCCUACUCAAGUUCUUAAAGUUCGUUUGGUUAAAAGUGAUGCAUAAGUUAUUGAUUUCAUCUCAUUUUACAAAAAAAAAAAAAAGUAUACAACGUCCUUUAAGAACUUGUCAUGUAUCAUGUUCUUAUUGGUUAGUAUCGUGUUUUGGGGUAAAUAAAAAAAAAUUAAUAAUUUAUAUAUCAUUUUAACCCUGAAAAAAACUUCUAAGUAUCUAAAUAGGAAAAACAGAAUAGUUUGAAUUUUGCAUUUAAGCCAAAAAAUUAAAAUCACAUUAAUAACACUAGCAAUGAACUUUUGUUAAAUUUCAAUAUUAUUUCAUUUUAAUAUUCAACAAAUAUUCAAAUUCUGAUUCAGGCCAAAUAAUAACAGUGCUUUUUAAAUCGGAUAUAUAGAAUGACUCUUGAAAUUAAAAACAUAUCAACUAAAAUCUUCCGAAAAAGUACAAGGACUGAAAGCAGAAAUAGAUCAUAAAUAAUAACCUAAAAUAUAUAAAGAAAAAACUUUGAAAAUAAGCAUUCCCCAUGCCAUACCAAAUACUCACAUCUGGUAUGUUUGAAAAUAUGGGAUCAAUCAAAAUUUGAGAUUUUAUAAAAGGUUUUUUUGUGUGUGUGUGAAAUUAUCAAAACAAGAAAAUCCAAGCAAAGUGAAAAAAAAAAAAAAGAAGACAUUGAUCAUCAAACUUACCAAAUAACUGAGAGAAGCUUCUUACAGUAAUUCGAACCAAUCUAUGUAUCCCAUUCGAUAUGUUGGGCUUUGAAAGAGCCAACCAACCAAAUGAAUUCUUUGUUCUUCCCUUUGAUGAACACUCUUCUCCUACAACUUGUUUACCUUAAUUCAAAACAUAUAUAUAUGUAUAUAUCAGACAAAACCCUAAACCUGAGCAGAAAAAAUGAUCAGACAGAAACGAAGAGACAUGAUCAUACUUGUUAGAUUUUGAUAGUUGGGUUCUGGUUUUUGUUUCCUUGGAGGACUUUUGCCAACUGCAACACUUGCCUGAGAAGAACAACCAGUUGUGAAAGGAAGAACAAGCCUUUCCAUUCUCUCUUUCAUGUUUUUUUUUCCUUCCUUUAGAAAAAGCAAUCGAUUUAUCACCAAAAUGUUUUUUUUUUUUUGGGGGGGGGGGGGUAGGGGGGGUAGGGGUUGGUAAUUGAUUUGUCACCAAUAUGAAUGAAUGAGAAGAAGCAAAUGGAAAUGGAAAUGUUGGGUCAGUUUAUAUUUUGGUUAGGCCUUGGCUUUAUCAUCAAGAUAGAAUGAUUUUAGCAUCUGAAAAAUGAGAACAUGGGCAAUGAUUUUAUAUAUAUGGUUGGUCUUAAUUUCGGUUAUUUUAUAUCAUACAAGAGAUUGUAGCCAUUUCAUAAAUUGGGUUGGAAAUUAAAAAAUUGCGUCGGUGACUUAAAAUUUGUUAAAUUGAUCGUCAAAUAUGUUGUUCUUAAAAAAUUAAUUUCUUCUUCUUUAGUGUUGAAACAAAUUGGAUCAGAACGAGAAAAAGUUGACAAGUUCUAAAAUCAAAAUGUACCCAAAAAAGAGUUCCAGACUAAAUUUAAAAAGCUAUAAAAUUCGGGGACUAAAUAUUAAUUUAUCACAGCCUUUUAUGUUCAAAUAAGUUAACUAUGCACUUGUCAUCACAUGGAGAGAGAGUGGGUAGGGUUGGGGUUUGGUACAUAGUUAGCUAAACAGUGCAACUCAACCUAAUUUUCUUUUUUGCUGAUUAAGUCUACUAGAAACACUUGUAUUCAUUAUAAUUCCUCUAAAUAUAUUGGUGAAUGGUGGGCUCAAAAAAAAAAAAGUAUUUGUUGUUCUUCUCUUGUAUUUGAAGCCACUAUUAAUUGAUUAUUUUCAUGCAAUCAAUUCAUCCAUUCUCCCUUUUUUGUUUUUUUUUUCUUUGAUAUAUAUAUACACAUUCAUCAUCAACCUUGAAAAUAGACAAACUUAAUAGGCAUAAUAGCAUCAAUCAUAGAGUGAAUCUCAAGUGACUUCACCAUCAAAUUCAAUGAUAGUCUCAAGUAUUCCUUAGUUUCAAAAAAGAAAUUUAUGUCUAAAAGAGUACUUGAAUGUUGUUAGAUAGCCAACUAUAACCCCAAAUUUAAUUAAGGAAUGAUUGUUUGGAUCAACAUUAACAAUUUCUUUUUAUUAUUUAAGUAUUAGUGAAUUACUUGACCUUCCGCAUAAAAUUAUUAUUUUUUAUAUUCGAGUCUAGUCUGAUCUAUUACCGAUUAUAAUUAUAAUGUUAUUUCAUGAAUUAUGUAAAUAUAUUAAUUAUUUAACAUUAUCUUAAUUAAAAUGAUUAUAUAUUAUUUUUUUUACAAAGUAACAAAUAAUUAUAAAAAUCAAUUUAAACCCGUAAUAAAUCUCUAAAAAUAUUUAAACAUUUUGAGAUUUUAACUCAAGACAAACCGUAGUUUCUAGCCAUAAUUUUACCAUUACAAUUAAAAUUUUAUUUAUUUUUAUAUAAAAUUGUCUAUAAUUUUUUUCACAUGGUGAGUGUUGUUAAUAUAUUUUGAAAACAAAUUUAGAUAUAUUACUGAAAAUCAAUUUAUUUUCCAUAAAAGCUUUGGAGUAUUAUUAGUAUAGGUCUAGAUUUAUAUGGUGGCCCAAAUAUGAAUUGGGCUUAAUUGAAACCUACGAAAGGCUUGAUCUAGUAGUUAAAAGUGAUUAAACCAUUUUUAUUAAAAGCUUAAUUAAACGGGAGAUACUUAAACUAUUAGGUUUGUUUGAGUUAGGUAUUUAUAUUAUUUUUUUAUCCAUCCGAGUACCUAAACUUUGAAUUACUUAUUGAAAUAAGUACAUGCUGUUAGUAUCGUUAAAAAAAAAAACUCUAGCCAAUAGUUUCAUCCCACGUUAUUAUUAGCAAUAGAGUCUUACUUGUUAUAUUUGAAAUUGACAAUUUAUUGAAAUAAAACCUUUGGGUUAGGUUAAUAUUGUGAAAUUAUUCAAGCCCAUCAAUGGAUAUUUUUAAGGAUUGGAUCGGAUCAGAUCAAUCUUACCAAAUUCUUUCAAUUAAGGAUGUUUGAUCGAGACAAAACUUGAGGACUUAUCUUCCAACAAUCCUCUUUACUUUAGUUGUUAUUGUUAUAUUGGAUUUAACUAUUUUACUUGUUGUUCAAAGGGGAUUGUAGUUGAUCUUUAGUAUGUGAGUAAGUCUUAGAAAACUUUUAUAUAUUUGAGGUACUUGUAUAGAUUUUUGUAUUGAAUUUUUUAGAGCACUUACCAGUUCAGAGAGGAACGUUAUUGUGAGAGUGCAAAUGAGAUAGUAAAACCUAUUGUUGCCUUGAUGGUGGUUUUACAAACUAUGUGCUCGGGGGGAGAAUUUGAUGGUGAGAAAUCUAGCCUUUGAGUAUAACAUUGAGGUUAAUUAGACUAGGGUGUGAUAGAACUAGGAUUACUUGUUGUAUUGAGUUAAAAUAUAGUAAAUUCAUCUCAUUGAGCUAGAUUGUGUAGACGUAGGAAACCAAAUUGAUAAACAAUUUCUUAUUAGCUUUUUUUUUUUAUCACAAUGUUAUAGAAAUACCCAGUUUCACUGUCACUUCCAUUCAUACUUUAUUGCUUAAGAUAUUAACAAUUAAUUUACGUUAACAUAUUCAGCAGAUCACAAAUAAUAAGUUUUCUAAACAUUAAUCUUAUUAUAGGUUCUUAUCAUAUAUGUUAUUUUUUAUACAAUACUUAAAACUACCCAUAGCCCCUCUCCAACCCUUAAAUAGGAGGAUAAUGCGCUUCAACACAUUUAAAUCUAUGCCCUUCUGACAACAACCUAAAUGAUAAAUCUAUUUCCAUAGAAGAUUUUUUUGUGUGUAAUUAAAGUUAAGUGUCAUUUGGUUGUUUCCCACCCAAUGGAACAUGAUUAAUGGGAUUUUAGUAUAUCUUAUAAAGUAUUAAUUAAAAUUUAUAAUAAAAUCACAAGAAUAUGUUUGGUUGAUUAAACAUUUGCUUAGAGUAAUUUAUAUUGCAAUAUGUAUCACCAACCAUUUCUUUUACAAAAAUUAUUUAUUAUUUUUAAGUUUAAAAAUUAAAUAAAGUAUAUCUCAAUAAUGGAAUAUUCAUUAUUAACUGUCCAUUUUUAGCAAAAAAAGAAAAAGACACUAUUCUAAUUAAAGAAACAAACAGACACCAUUCACGUGUCACGCUGGUGAUAUAAGUGGUGGAAGGUCAGUGUCAUUUGACAAUUACUCAUUUUUAUAUUAUUUUAUUAUUUUUUGUUAUAAUUAUUUAAUAUUAAUAUUAAUAUUAAUAUCAAUUUUAUUAUAUAAAUAUUUUUUAUUUAACACAUUCAUAUUUUAUAUUUCACAUUUCGACUGAUAUAAGUAUUGUUAUCAAUAUAGGAGGAUGUGAAUUCGAGUGUACUAAAACGCAUUAUCCUCCAAUUUAUGGGUUGAUGAGAAAUUAUGAGUAAUUUCAGAUAUUAUAUCAAAAAAAACAAAUAUGAUCAAAAUCUAUAAUCAGAUAAUUAUUAUAAAAAAGAUAAUACUUUUUCAUUAAUUUGAUAAUGUCCAAUCAUUUUGAUUGCCUUACGAAUUUUAUUUUACCUUUAUCAACAACCAUUAUUGAUUUAAAAUUUUCGAAAAUAACAUUAUUGAAACAUUUGAAAAUAAUAUUAUUAAAAAUGACAGUUUAGAUUGAAUAGUUUGUAGAUUAAUAUGUUCUCGAAGGAUGUAGAUUAACGAUAUAUUUAUGUUUAAAAUUUUAAUUUGGAUUUUUAAUUAUUUUUUUUAUUUUUUAUGUCUUAUAAAAAGUAGGGUCAAUUGUAUCAAAUAGAGCGAGCUGAGAUAGAUUGUUCUCAAAUCCACCACUGCUCCACAGUUGGAACACUUCGCUUCACUUCACCACUUGCCCUACGUCAUUACAGAUGUGUAACCUUACCACUUCUAUAGAUGUUAGAUAUAUCUCACUCCAUCUCACAUCAAUUUAAUUUUUGUUAAUUAUUUCUAAAAUUUUUAAAUUUUUUAUAAGACAAUUAAGCGUAACUUUUUUUUUUAAAAUCUAAACAUAAAAGCCUUUUUUUAUAAUGCAUUUGUACAUUUUUAUCAUUUGAAUGGUUAUACAUAUUAUAUUAUACGAGUAAAAUGAUAAUUUUAUAUAGUAAAGAGCAAAUAAUUAUUAUAACUGCUUCGUGCCAAUUAUCCACCAAAAAAAAUUAUCCAAUUUGCCAUACCUUGCAACUAUACUUCAUAGAAAAAUUUAGUCUAUUUAAAAUUAAACGAUUCAAAAUCUAUGAAACGAAUCUUUUUCUAUCAUCCUCAAAUAUAUAAUACUUAAAAAAAAAGGUGGCUUUUAAUUUUCAUACAAGAAGAAACAAGCCACACUGCGUGAACUUGUUGACAAAACGAUAGCCUCUAUCUUCUUCACUUUGACUAGGUGAAGUUCCAUUUUGUCAAAACCUAAUAAAGUUUUUAUAUAAUGAUUAAAAGGUAUAAUCAGGAUUGUACUUUUUAUUAAUUAAAUUUAUUUUUGGUUGCACCAAAAUUAAUUAAAGCAUAAAUUUAAUAUAAACACAAAAUUGAAAUUUAUUUAUAGCAACUUAAAUUUUUAGAGUUACUUAAUUUAUAAAUAAAUUUAAAGAUAAAAUUUUAACUGUAAUGUAAUUAACGUGAAUCACUCUUAAACAAUAAAUAUUCUUACCAUCAAAUCAAACCAACACCAAUGAGAUUUUUAAAGAUUGAAAAUGAAGAAUGAUAUUUAAAAGGGAAGAAAAAAACAAAUUUACUUGCAAUAACCUUGAGAAACAUCAUCCACAAAAGCUUUAAGGUUCAUAUCCAUGGACCCACCUUCCAUGGCGGCUUCCCUGGCUAACCCUUUCCAUUUCUCUACAUUUUUCUUCACUUCCAUCCCUUUCUCAUCAUCCCCCAUCACCACAUCCAAGCACCUAACGAUCUCAUCACGUUCCACCAUCCCUUCUUCAUUAGUGCUCACUCUCACCCCAGUGCCCCACACAUCUUCAAUCAGCUUCGCACUAGUCCCUUGAUCCGUCCACUGAGGAAAAGCUACCAUCGGUACACCGGCAACCAAGCUCUCUAACGUCGAGUUCCACCCACAAUGCGUCACGAAGCAACCCAACGACGGAUGAGACAACACUUCUACUUGCGAACACCAUGGAACCACCAUUCCAAAUUGUUCCAAUUCUUCCCUGCAAGUUAACUUAUCUUCUUCUUUCUCUUCUUCGCCUCUAUCUUUCCGGUUCCUCAUCACCCAUAAAAACGGUCGCCGGCUGGAUAUUAAAGCUCGAGCGAUUUCCUCCACUUGUUGCUUCUUCAACGCCGCGAUACUCCCGAAGGAAACGUAAACGACGGCCGAUUUUGGUUUGGAGUCUAACCAUUGGAUGUAAUCUUUUGAAUCGGAUUGAAAAAGAUCGACUCUUAAGGAAUUAUCUAAUGCGUCUUUUGAGUUAAAGAAUGAAGAUGGGACUAAAGGUCCAAUACCAACUGUCUUGAACUUUUCAAUGGCGUUUAAUGCUUCGUGUUCCAAAGCAUCGAAGGUGUUAAUAAGGAUUUUAGCGUUGGGUUCUUCUGCGAGGACGUCCAUUUGUUCUUGGAACAACGACAGUGCCGAUUGGUAAACGUUCGAAGCGAUAACGAACGAUGGAAGGUCGCGGGGGAAGAGUGGCGGUAGACCUGGUAAUUUUAUCGAACACUUGGGGUUUGUUUCAUCAGCUUGAGCUUUAAUGGCGGAUUCGUAUCCGUUGAAGUAAAAAUAAUAGAUGUCGAAAACGGUGGCGGGUUGAAUCCAGAGUAAAGCUGACGGGAUGUGAUGUUUACGCGCCACCUCCGCAGCCCAAUGAAGGCAUAAAGAGUAGACAAUGCAAGUAAUGGGUUUACCUUCGUUUUCACUGCUUGUUAUAUACUCAGAGAUGGCAUCUUUGCCUCGUCGCUUGAAUUCAGACAAGUAAUGGUCUGUGUCAUCGCCGGGUUUAAUUCCGUCGUCGUAGCCAUCUGAAAAAGGUAAAAACGAUAGGCCUUCAGCGGUGGGGACUUUGGUCAUGCGGCGGCUGGCGGAGAUGCUGGUGAUGUAAGUUACACGUACGCCGAUACGAAUAAGAUGCUUGGCGAAUUGUAAGGUCGGGUUUAUGUGGCCUUGUGCAGGAUAGGUCACUACGAUGAAAUGAGGUUGUGGCAUGAUGGUGACGGCGGCGCGUGGGUAGUGAAUUAUCCUUUCUCUUUUUACUAAUUUGGAGUAAUUCGUGAAGGAAAUUAAUGGGUUUUUAUAGUGAUGAGAGGAAUUCAUAAAAGGUGACGUUUGAGCUGACGAAUUUCAUAGAUUCCUAAACCUUUUUGGAUUUAUCUGGUGUUUUUUUAAGGCUUAGGUUGCAGCUUGAUGCAUGAUGCUGUCAGAGACACUUUCAGACUACACGACUCUUGGGGGUUUGAACUUGAUUCACCAAUUAUAGUUUAGGUUAAACUAAACCCCAACACUAAACUGGUAAGUUUAUAUUUGGUUAAACUACCUACCAAGUUAUCCAUCUAUGCUUAAACUUUUUUUUUACUCACUCAAUUUUUAAAACUUUCGAAAUGGUCACUCAAUUAAUUGAAUUCGAUAUUUUUGAUCCAUAUCCCUUAAGCAUUGUUAAAUGCCUUAUCUUUGUAUAUCUGGUAGAUUAGGUAUUUGUAAAGUUGAGGGUUAAUUUUUGAAAAUUAUGAUUAAAUUGACAUAAAAUAUAAAUUUUGAUGGCUAAAUUUGUUAUUAUACUAAUUAUAAAGUAUUACCUCAACCUCGUGUUCAAACCCUUAACGGAAAUGGACGGAAAAAUAAAUUUGAUUAGUUAGGUGACAAUUUUGAAAGUUUUAAAAGUUGAGUGAAAAAAAAGAAGCUUAAACAUAUUUGAGUGGCUUGCAAUGUAGAUUAGCUUCUAUAUUUUGAUUACUCAACUUUUAGAUUUUACAAAAUGGUCACUGAACUAUUCGAAAGUUUUCAUUUAAGUAACUAAAUUAUUCGAAAUAUAUAAUUUAAGUCACUAGGCCGUUAAAUAUUUUUUUAAGUCCGACUAGCAAGCUCCAAGUAGGGGUGAUAUCAGUUCGGUUUGGUUGAGUUUUUCAAAUCUUUUGAAUUGUCCAUCAUAAUUCGAUUUGGCUCAGUUCAAUUUUUCCAUAUUAAUUUUUUAUUUUGAUUUUUUAAAUUUAUUUUGAUAAAAUGAGCUUUGUUUUAUGGCUUUUGAAUAUUAUUUGACAAAAUUUCAAGAUUUUUUUUAUAAAUAUUUCUAAAAUACAAUAAUCUUUUAAAAAAAUUUAAAUAAUUUACACUAUUUUAAAUAUAAAAUAUUUAUUUUUUAUAUCAUAAAAAAUAAAAUGACUUAUAUAUUAAAUAAAAAACACAAUUCAGUUUAGUUUUAGGUAACUGCAAUUUUUAAACUUGCAUUCCAUAAAUCAUCUAAAUAUCUUGGUUAGGGUUGGUUUUCGAUUUGGUUAGUUUGUUUGCACAACCUUAGCUCUAAGCGACUAUUCGACGAUUGAUACAGUGAAUCAGUACACAUUGAUAAGUAAAAGAACAUACUUUAAAUCCAAAUUGAUCUAACGGUUAGUGUCAGAGAUCGAAGAAGAAAGUUGUUUAGAUUUUAAUUUGUAAAUUUGUGACGUUCAAAACUAUUUCAUGAAAAAAAAUUGAACUAUAGAAAAGAAGAAAAAAGAGAUCUUUCGGUUGGUGCAAGGAUUGCAAGCGGAGAAGGCCAUACAAUAACAAUUUUAACAGUCCAUCAAGUUAAAUGAAAAUUUUCAAAUAGUUCAAUGACCAUUUUGAAGUUUUUUUAAGCUGACUGAUCAAAACAUAAAUUUACUAAUAAUUUAGCAACCUUGAAUGUAGUUUACUCAAAUUAUUAAUAAUGAUGUUUUUUUUUUUGUGAUGGAAUUUCGAUUGAAUUUUAUUAAUUAAUUUUAAAAAAAUUUAUAAAUCCAAGUAAAUGUAGGAAAAAUCUACUCUUUUUUGAUAUAAUGCUUAGAGCUACCCAUAGCCCUCCCCACUUUUAAAUAGGAGAACAAACUCAAACUCACAUCCUCCUACACUGACAACAAUGCCGAUGCUAAUCAAAUUAAGACUCAGUUGACAACUACAUCAACUUUUAAUUAUUCAUAUUUUGUAAAAGUAAUUUUUGGUGAAAGUUAUAGUGAAAGUUAUCAUAUUGGUGGUUAGGUGUGAUUGACCAUUGAGUUAUAAUUAUUGUAGCAUCAAGAAAAGUUAACCGAGUUGAUUAGAGUGUGGGGUGAAUAAAUUAAUUUUUCAAAAUUUUAAUAGUAGGAAUGGAAGAAUAUUUUUACAAUGUUAUUUCAUGAAUUAUGUAAAUAUAUUAAUUGACGUGACAAAUUAAUUUAACAUUAAUAUCUUAAUUAAAAUGAUUAUAUAUUUUUUUUACAAAGUAACAAAUAACGUUACGAGGGUUUUUUUGUUUUUUGUUUUUUACAUUUUUAUAUAAAAUUUAUAAAAUUCAAUUUAAACCCGUAAUAAAUCUCUAAAAAUAUUUAAACAUUUUGAGAUUUUAACUCGAGACAAACGGUAGUUUCUAGCCAAAAUUUUACCAUUACAAUUAAAAUUUUAUUUAUUUUUAUAUAAAAUUGUCCAUAAUUUUUUUCACAUGGUGAGUGUUGUUAAUAUAUUUUGAAAACAAAUUUAGAUAUAUUACUGAAAAUCAAUUUAUUUUCCAUAAAAACUUUGGAGUAUUAUUAGUAUAGGUCUAGAUUUAUAUGGUGGCCCGAAUAUGAAUUGGGCUUAAUUGAAACCUACGAAAGGCCUGAUCUAGUAGUUAAAAGUGAUUAAACCAUUUUUUUAAUGCUUAAUUAAACGGGAGAUACUUAAAUUAUUAGGUUUGUUUGAGUUAGGUAUUUAAAUUAUUUUUUUAUCUAUCCAAGUACCUAAACUUUGAAUUAGUUAUUGAAAUAAGUACAUGCUGUUAGUGUUGUUAAAAAAAAAAACUCUAGCCAAUAGUAUCGUCUCACGUUAUUAUUAGCGAUAGAGUCCUACUUGUUAUAUUUGAAAUUGACAAUUUAUUGAAAUAAAAUCUUUAGGUUAGAUUAAUAUUGUGGAAUUAUUCAGGCCCAUCAAUGAAUAUUAAUCCAUUUAGAGAAACUUAUUUUUAAGGAUUGGAUUGGAUCAGAUCAAUCUUACCAAAUUCUUUCGAUUAAGGAUGUUUGAUCGGGACAAAACUUGAGAACUUAUCUUCCAACAAUCCUCUUUACUUUAGUUGUUAUUUAUUAUAUUGGAUUUAACUAUUUAGUUAUUGUUCAAAGGGGAUUGUAAUUAAUCUUUAGUAUGUGAGUAAGUCUUGGAAAACUUUUAUAUAUUUGAGAUACUUGUAUAGAUUUCUGUAUUGAAUUUUUUAGAGCACUUACCAGUUCACAUAGGAACGUUAUUGUGAGAUUGCAAAUGAGAUAGUAAAACCUAUUGUUGCCUUGAUGGUGGUUUUACAAACUAUGUGCUCCGGGGGAGAAUUUCAUGUUGAGAAAUCUAGCCUUUGAGUACAACAUUGAGGUUACUAGACCAGGGUGUGAUAGAACUAGGAUUACUUGUUGUACUGAGUUCAAAGAUAGUAAAUUCAUCUCAUUGAGCUAGAUUGUGUAGACGUAGGAAACUGAAUUGAUAAACAAUUUCUUAUCAGCUUUUUUUUAAUCACAAUGUUAUCAGAAUACCCAAUUUCACUGUCACUUCCAUUCAUACUUUAUUUCUUAAGAUAUUAACAAUUAAUUUACGUUAACAUAUUCAACAGACAAAUAAUAAGUUUUUUUAACAUUAAUCUUAUUAUCUGUUCUUAUCAUAUCUGUUAUUUUUUAUACAAUACCAAAACUACCUAUAGCCCCUCUCCAACCCUAAAAUAAAAGGAUAAUGCGCUUCAGCACAUUCAAACCCAAACCCUCCUGCACUGACAGCAAUACCAAUACCAAUCAAAUUAAGACUCAAUCGAAUAGUUUUUUAUAAUUACAAACAAAUGAUAAAUCUAUUUCCAUAGAAGAUUUUUUGUGUAUAAUUAAAGUUAAGCGUCAUUUGGUUGUUUCCCACCCAAUGGAACCUGAUUAAUGGGAUUUUAGUAUAUCUUAUAAAGUAUUAAUUAAAUUUUAUAAUAAAAUCACAAGAAUAUGUUUGGUUGAUUAAACAUUUGUGUAAGACCUAAAUUUUGCCCGGGCCCAACUAAACCUAAAGCCCACACUACAUCAGUCCCAACAUUUAGCCUACUACUCUAAACCCAAUGACCCAAUACAAACAGCCCAAAUACUUAGCCCUAACAGCACACAUCCGAAAAACCCUAGCCCUUUGCCCCAGCGCCGCACGUCAGCUAGGAUCCCUCAUACGCUUCCGCAAAUGCCGCAGCAGUUGCUCACAUCGCAGCAACCACCCACGAUCAGAACACCUUGUCGUUUCCACAUACCUGUAACAAAUAAACCACGAGCAACACUAAUAGGAGAUACAGUAAAUUGUAAAGAAGUUUUGGCUAUAAAAAGCCAAUGGAUUUCUGUAAUAAGGGUUAGCAAAUUUUUGAUAAAAAAAUUAAAAGAAAAUACAAGAGAAAAAAACAUUUUGAAGGUGACAGCUUGUUGUUUCUUUUCUUCUGUUCUUUUACCGCUUUCAUUUUACUUUUGUUUUUCUUUUGUUUCUAAAACAAAAUAGAUUAAAUAAAGGGAGGUAAAGGAAAACUUACCAGCGUGGUGUCGAUGUAGCCCUUUGUUUCAUUACUGUCGGAGCAGGGGAGGAGUUUUAAGGGUAGAGAAACGACGCAAUGACAAAGAAAGAAAGAAAAUGGUUUUUAGGGUUUGAAAAAGGGUUUUUAAUUGAUUUUAAAACAGUGCCGUAUUUGGUGUACCCGAAUGCCCGCGUUGUAACACCCCUUACCCGUAGUCGACACUGAAAUAGGGUACGAGGCAUUACCAGAACACAUACACUUGUAAACAUAUUUAACCGAGUUAUAAAAUUUCAUCUAAAUUAAAACUUUCAAAAUUAUUAACAUGCUUUUAUAACUCUUCACAAUAUAUCCUCGAAAUGUUAUUAUAAUUUUAAUAAUUAAGGCCUACGAGACCCUAUACAUAUUCAUGCAAUUCAAUACUUCAUUUCCAUUUCACUCAAUUCGCAAUUUCUCAUGCUCACGAUUUAGAUCAUAUCACUAGCAAUUUCCAUUUAAUUCACAUACAAUUCAAUCUCAUUAAGUUUAACACUAAUACGCAUUUAGCAUUUAAUUCAACGUUUGUCCAUUAUACCAUUCGUUAACACAUUUAUGAAAUUCUAAAUUUUGCAAUGAAAAUAUCAUUUUAGCUUAAAUAACAACAUCAUCCUGGUAUAAAUACACUACCACUUAUCCAUUUUCUUUAAUUUUUUUGGGUCAAUUUGUCACUUACCGUCCUUAUCAAAUUAGGAAACUGUUACGGAAAAUUAAGUACUUCACUUUCACUUUGCCAUAGUAUAACUAUGGUCUUACGUAUGACCACUUAUCACUUGUCCUUGAACAGAUAAGUGUACCUAGGCUACCACUUAUCACUUUGUCACUUGAUCAGAUAAGUGUAGUUAAGGCUACCACUUAUCACUUUGUCACUUGAUCAGAUAAGUGUAGCUAAGGUUACCACUUAUCACUUUGUCACUUGAUCAGAUAAGUGUAGCUAAAGCUACCACUUAUCACUUUGUCACUUGUCACUGAUCAGAAGUACUCAAAUCCGGCAUUCCACUCAAUUUGAUCAUUUAUUCAGUUUUCGCAUUUUUAUUUUAUUCUCAUUUCAACACUAAAUAUGUUAGCCAAAUACACAUAUAGCAUAAGCAUUACAAGCAUGGAUGAGCACAACAUUUAUUCAUGUAUCACGCUUACCAACAUGUGUUAAUUCAUAAACCAUUCAUAAUUUUUUUAUGCCAAAUCAUAUACCGAAUAUACCAUACACACAUACUAUGAAACUUUAUUUUCAUACAUGAGCUUAGACCAUGACCAAUAAUGCACAAAUAUAAGCAUCAUUUUUAUUUCAUCGUUUAUCAAUUAUAAUCAAGCAUAUGACCAAUUAUACACAAAUCAUUCAUAUAUUUCCCAAUUUUCCUCCUCCUCCUCUCAAUUUCACAUCCUUAAUGUGUAUAACACACUUAAACAACAUUAACUAUAAUUUCAUUAUUCACUCACAUGUAUAUUCAAAAUUGUUUAUCCGAGUCAGAGUCACUAAAUUAUUUUUAUCUGGAGCUACAGAGCUCCAAAUGAAGAUCUGUUAAUUUUCCCUGAAACUAGACUCACAUAUCUUCUUGCCAUUAAAUUUUCAGAAUUUUUGGUUCAACCAAAUAGUACAGUUUAUUCUUUAAAGUUUUCCCUGUUUCGCUAUCUGACAGUUCCGACCACUAUUCACUAAAAAGUAAUUAUCUCAUUGUACAGAAUUUGGAUGUUGUUUCUGUUUAUUUAUUAUAAAAAUAGACUCAUUAAAGAUUCUAACCAUAUAAAUUAUAACUAACAUAUCAAGAACAUAUAAUCUUAUAUAAUAAAACUCUACAUUAACAUCAAUCUCAUACUUUUUCAAUAAUAUCAAACUCAAAAAUAUGUUGAAAUCAUGAUGUUCUUACCUUGCUCAAUUGACUUCAAUCUUUAACUUGAUUUUCUCUCUCCUCCAGCCUCUAUUUCUAGAAUCUAACUUGAUAUUCUAGCUCCCCAUAGUCUCCUUGCCAAUUUUAUCUCUUGGUGGCUAUGGAAAUUUCUUUGAUUUCUAAGUGAAAAUGAUAGAUUUUUGGUGAAAGGACCAAAUUGUAAAGAAAGCAAACCUUUCUUUCUUUUUCUCUGUUCUCACGUUGGUUGCAUGGAAGAAGAAGAUGAUUCUUCCUCUUUUCUUCCAUAUAUAUAUACUAAAUAAAAUAAUAAUAAAAUAAUAAAAUGUCAUUUAAAAAUCUAAUUAAAAUAUUAAUAAACUAAUAUUUACUUAUUUAUUUAGUCUAAAUAUCUCCAACAUCAUCAUUAUUUUCUAAAUUUUUCUUUCUUCUAAUUGACCAUUUUACCCUUUAGAUCUUUCAAAAUUCCAUCAUUGAGUCAUCACUUAAUUUGGUAAAAUUAUAAUUUAAUCCCUCAUAAUUCUUCAUCUAUUCAAUUUGGUCCCAAUUCAUCCAUUUUUCUUAGUUUCUAGAUUAUUCCACCCUUAAAAUAUUUACACUAUUGGUUCUUUAACUUUUUCAUAUUUACACUUUAACCCUCAACUUUUCAGUAUUUACUCUUGGGUAACAAAACUUUUCUCACUUUUGCAAUUGAAUCCUUUCUUGAAUUAAUAUGUCAUAAAUCAUAAAUUUUAAAAUAAUUUUUUUUCCUUGUCUGAAUUUUGGACCCGAAACCACUGUUCCAACUAGACCCAAAAAAAUCGGGCUGUUACACGAGUGACCCGAUCCAAAAACCCGAUCAGAUCCGCAUGUUUUAAGUUGAUGGGUUAUUUAUAAUUUAGGCCCUUCAUGUUUUAUGGUUUUCAAAAUCACUGUUUUUUUUAUUAUUUUCAAAUUUUUUCCAUGAAACAUUGUUAAUUUUGAUUUAAUCCAAUAUUGCGCAAUGCUUCGAGUGGUUUGGGUAAAUUGUUUUUUUGGUCCUCCCCCUGAUUGCGCAUGUUUAAAUUACUCCCUUUCUUAUUUUUAUUUUCAAAUUCAGCUCUCAAAUUCCGUUUGGUUUUGAAACUUAAUCUUUAAUUUGUUUUUUUCAGUUUUUUUUAUAUUUAUUUAUUAUUAUAUUGUUUAUAUUGUUUAUUAGUAUAAUUAUUACUAUAUUAUUAUUAUUGUCCGUAUAUAUGUGAGCAUGUAUAUAUGUUAAUAUAUAUAUAUAUGUAUAUUCUAAAUGUUUUAAAUACAUAUAUGUAGUACGUAUAUAUUUUAUUAUCAUAUCAUUUUAUUUUUAUAGUUUAUAUAUAUUUUAUAUACAUUCAUAUUUUUUAUGAUAUUUAUAUUUUCAUGUUUUAUAAUUCAUAUGUUUAUACAUUUUUAUAACGUUUACAUAUAUUUUUGCAUUCUUUUCAAGGCUAUUAUAAAUAUUUUCCAUGAUUUUAUAUUUACUAAUACAUUAUACUUAUACAUUUUUUUUAAAACGUAUUAAUAUAUUUUAUAUGUAUUUUAUCAUUGUUUUAUUUUUAUGACUUACGUUUUUUGUCUCAUAUCCAUAUACAUAUUUGGUAAAAUUGUUUAUAUAUCAUACUUAUGUAUACACAUAAUUUAAAUUAAAGUAUUUGUUUCAUAUUGCAUUGACAUUUUUAACAUAUUUUUCAAAUACAUUUUGAUUUUGUCAGAACAUUAAAAUCAUUUUUUAUGAUUCAAAGGUUUUCAAAAUAAAAACGAGAUUCAAAGUUAGGGAUUUUCGAGGAAAAUAGAGCCCUAACGUAUUGGGUUCCGAUUUUCUUUGUUAAUUUCAAAUAACCGAGAAUAUUCGUGAUUUAAAAUGUAUAAGUAAAAAUCAUUUUUGGGAACUUAAUUCGUUAUGUCCUAACAUAUUGGGCAUGACAUAAUUGCUUCCUCGAAAUGAGGAUUUACUUAUAAAGAAAAAGUGAUAUUCAAAAUUCGGGGAUUUUGAGAAAUUGUACCCUAACGUAUUGGGUCUGAAUUUCUUCGUAUGACUUGAAUAAUUGACUAUCCUUUUCAGAUUUCAAUGUUUGAGCUUAACAAAAUCUUUUAAAUUUUCGACACCAAGACAUUAAAUAAUUAAAUUCGGUACCGAUUUUUUUGGGCGUUACGAGGGUGCUAACCCUUCCUCGUGCGUAACUGACUCCCGAACCUGUUUUCUCAAAUUUCGUAGAUCACAUUUGUUUUUCAGGUAAGCCGAUCACACCUAAAUUACGGAUCGGUGGCGACUCAAAUUUUUAUUUUUAAAGGUCGACAAACUAAAUUUUUGUUUUCAAAAAAAUGGUUUCGACAAUUUGCUUAGAAUAAUUUAUAAAAAGACACUACUCUAAUUAAAGAAAAAAACAGACACUAUUCACGUGUCACGCGAGUGGUGUCAUUCGACAAUUAUUAAUUUUAUAUUAUUUUAUUAUUUUCUGUUAUAAUUAUUUAACAUUAAUAUUAAUAUAAAAUUUAUUAUAUAAAUAAUUUUUAUUUAACACAUUCAUAUUAUAUAUUUCAUUUAUUCAUUUAAAUUCUUAAUUCGAUUGGUAUGAGUAUUGGUGUCAAUACAGGAGGAUGUGAGUUUGAGUGCACUAAAACGCAUUAUCCUUCUAUUUAUAGGUUGAUGAGAGACUAUGAACAAUUCCAAAUAUUAUAUAAAAAAAAUAGUUAUGAAAAAUCUAUAAUGAAAUUAUUACUAUCAAGAAGAUAAUGCCUUUUCAUUAAUUUGAUAAUUUGAUAAUGAUUUUAUUUUACCUUUAUCAACUACAAUUAUUGAUUUAAAACUUCGAAAAUAACAUUUUUGAAACAUUUGAAAAUAAUAUUAUUAAAAAAACAGUUUAGAUUGAAUAGUUAGUAGAUUAAUAUGUUCUCGGAGGAUGUAGAUUAACAAUAUAAUUAUGUUUAAAAUUUUAAUUUGGAUUUUUAAAUAAUUUGUAUUUUUAACGCCUUAUAAAAAUUAGAGUUAAUUGUAUCAAAUAUCUCUAAAUUAUGACUCUUAUUUUAAUUUGGUCUUCAAAAUUUAAAUCAUUCUAAUUAUAUCAUUAAAUUAUCAAUGUUAUAUCAAAUAAGGUUCUUCCGUUACUAAAAUUGUCAACUUAACCGCUAAAUAAGAUGUCAGAUCUUACGUGAUAUAAUUUAAAAUGAAUAUUGUAUAAAUACCAAUUUUGAGGUUUUCAUAGAUUUUACAGAAAUUAUCGUUCAUUUUCCUCUCUUUUUUUGUUUGUCUUACUUUAUUUUAAUUUUUAAUUUUAAAAAUUAUGUAACAACAUUUUACUUUUCUUUAAAAUUUUAUUUUGAUUUAUGUCAUAUAAAAUUUUACGUGUCAUUUAAUGAUUAAAUUAACAAUUUUCAUAAUGGAAGGACCUGAUUAAUAAAACAUCGAUUGCUUUGAGACGUAAUUAGAAUGUUUAAGAAACAUAAUUAAUCAAGCUCAUCAUUUAAAAAAAUUAAAACACUUGUCGACAAAAAAAGAAUAAAACAGUAUCACGUGUCACGUGGGUAUAUAAAGUGGUAUUUAAUGUCUUGCAAAUAUGCUUUACAAAUAUUUAAUGUGGGAACUAAUAAUUAAACUAACAAAAUUAAAACGAUAUUUAUAUUUUAAAAAUUCAAUUAGAAUUUUUAAAUUUUAGAAAUUAAUUUAAAAUAUAAAUUAUAAUGGAAGGAUGUUUAGUACAAUUAACUAUUUUGUACCAUUAUAUCUUUUUGGGAUAACGUUAUAUUUAGUAUAUAUACUUUCAUAAAAUUUCUAAUGUAGUAUUUGUACUUUGAAAAUAUCUAAUGUCACACCUGAACUAUUAAUAUAUAUUUUUUAUUAUGGUACUUGCAAUUUUGUAAAAUAUCUAAUGUGAUACUUGAGCUAUUAAUGUGUUUUUAUUAUGGUACCUAGUGUUAAUACUGUUAAUGAAUUACUAAACCAGCCAAUAAAAAUUUGAUACGUAAUUUUUUUUAAAUCAUCCAAAUCCACAUGAAUAAUAUAAAUUAUAUAGAAAAAUAAAUAAAACAAAAACAAAUUAAUUAAAUAUAUUAUUAAUAAAAAGGAUCUAUUAUUAAACUUACAUAAAUAAAAAACAUCAUCUUCUUCAUUUAAGUAAAUUUUAUGUGCCAAAACUUUUAUUGAUUGCUUUAGCAAUUCACUAAUAGUGUUAACGCCAAGUACUGUAAUAGAACACGUAUUGAUAGUUAAGGUAUCACAUUGGAUAUUUUAUGAAAGUACAAGUACCAAAUGUGACACUAUCUUCUUCUUCUUCUUCUUUUUUCUUUUUUUCUUUUUUUGAGUUCUAAUCUUUUUAAUAGGUAUUUUUUCUAAUGUUGUAAAAGAGCCUAUUUAUUGGCUAAAUUCGUAGGUAAAAUAAAUUAUGCUAAUAAAUGCUAAAUAUAUUACACUAAUAAGUACUAAAUCUUCUAAAAAGAAAAUAUAUUUUGUUAAACUUAAUUUGCAAAUAAUCUCUUGUUUUAUUCAACAGGAAUUUGGAUCACACAACUCUAACAAUAAUACUUACACUUAUUAGGGAUGACAAUAGAGCGAGUUAGGAUAGAUGUUGUCAAAUCCACUACUGCUUCACAGUUGGUACACUUCACUUCACUUCACUUUACCACUUGCCCUGUUUUAUUACAUAUGUUAAACCUUGAAAAUUAUUACCACUUCUAUAGAUGUUGGAAAUACCCCACUCCAUCCCACAUCAAUUUAAUUUUUGUUAAUUAUUUCUAAAGUUUUUAAAUUUUUUAUAAGACAACUAAGCAUAACUUUUUAAAAAAAUCCAAACAUAAAAGCUUUUUUUAUAAUGCAUUUGUACAUUUUUACCAUUUGAAUGGUUAUACGAGUAAAAUGAUAAUUUUAUAUAGUAAAGAGCAAACAAUUAUUAUAACUGCUUCGUGCCAAUUAUCCGCCAAAAAAAAAAUUAUCCAAUUUGUCAUACCUUGCAACUAUCCUUCAUACAAAAAAUGUAUUCUAUUUAAAACUGAACGAUUUAAAAUCCAUAAAACGAAUCCUGUUGUAGCAUCCUCAAAUAUAUAAUACUUAAAAAAUGGUAGCUUUCAAUUUUCAUACAAGAAGAAACAAACCACAUUGCGUGAACUUGUUGACAAAACGAUAGCCUUUUAUCUUCUUCACUUUGACUAGGUGCAGUUCCAUUUGUGUGGUGGUUCAGCAUUACCAUCAUUAAUUACUACAAGUCAAAACCUAAUAAUGUUUUUUUAUAAAGGUAUAAUCACGAUUGUACUUUUUAUUAAUUAAAUUUAUUUUUGGUUGCACCAAAAUUAUUUAAAGCAUAAAUUUAAUAUAAACACAAAAUUGACAACUUAUUGAAUUUUAAUUUAAUUAGUAUUUUUAUUAUUGUAUUUAUCGAAAAAGAAUUUAGAUAUACAUAUUUUUUUUUUGUAAAUUAUAGAAGGAGAACAAAUAAAGGUGUCUAUAGGUCGGGCCGAGCCCAAUCAAAAUUUUAGUUUCGCUUGUAGGCUUGGGACUAGCUCGGCCCAGAUAAAAAUGUUAAAACUCGAAUUCAGUCUAACUCACUAGUAUUAAUUUUUUUAUUUUAUUUUUUAAAAAAAUUUAAUACAUAAAAAAUACUAUAACUAUUAAAAAUGUUUCUUAACAAAUUAAAAAUAAAUUAAAAAAACAUAUAUAUUAAAUAAAACUAAGAUAAGUGAUGCUAACCCAUGGAUAGAUCUAAACCUUUCAAUUUUUCGAAUGAUCUAACAUAUGGAUAAAUUUAAAAAUAAAAUCCUAACAAUAACGCAACUAAUGUGACUCGAACUGAUUGAAACAAUAAACAUUCUUACCAUUAAACCAACACUAUUCACAUUACUAUUACUAUUCAAAGAUUGGAAAAAAAAGAAUGAUAUUUGAAAGGGAAAAAAAGGAAAUUUACUUGCAAUAACUUGAGCAACAUCAUCCACAAAAGCUUUAAGGUUCAUAUCCAUGGACCCACCUUUCAUGGCGACUUCCCUGGCUAACCCUUUCCAUUUCUCUACAUUUUUCUUCACUUCCAUCCCUUUCUCAUCAUCCCCCAUCACCAAAUCCAAGCACCUAACGAUCUCAUCACGUUCCACGAUCCCUUCCUCGUUACCGCUCACUCUCACCCCAGUUCCCCACACAUCUUCAAUCAGCUUCGCACUAGUCCCUUGAUCCGUCCACUGAGGAAAAGCCACCACCGGUACACCGGUAACCAAGCUCUCUAACGUCGAGUUCCACCCACAAUGCGUCACGAAGCAACCCAACGACGGAUGAGACAACACUUCUACUUGCGAACACCAUGGAACCACCAUUCCAAAUUGUUCCAAUUCUUCCCCGCAAGUUAACUUAUCUUCUUCUUUCUCUUCUUCGCCUCUAUCUUUCCGGUUCCUCACCACCCACAAAAACGGUCACCGGCUGGAUAUUAAAGCUCGAGCGAUUUCCUCCACUUGUUGCUUCUUUAACGCCGCCAUGCUCCCAAAGGAAACGUAAACGACGGCCGAUUUUGGUUUGGAGUCUAACCAUUGGAUGUAAUUUUUGUUAACAUUAAUGGGAGACAACAUUAAUGGCAAACAAUACAAAGUGGUGCAAGUUUAGCACCCUAAAGUUGACUUUGAAAAAGUGGCAUGGGAUAAUUUUUUUUUGGUCCUUGAGAUAAUGGGCUAUUUAUUGUUUGGUCCUUAAACCUCAACUAUAAAUAGGCCUUCUCAUUUCUCAUUUCAAUUCAUCCCAACCAAUCUUUCUCUCUUAGUUUUCUCUCUUCUCCCAUUUGAGAAUUCUUAAGGAAUUCUAUUUGUUUGUAAUACUUUGGAGAUAGUAAAGUUAUCAUCUGGUGUUAGUGCCCGAGGACGUAGGUAUAAUUUACCGAACCUCGUUAAAACUCUUGUGUUCUUUCUUGUCCUAUUUUUCUUUCAAUAUUUGAGGGUAUAAUAGUAGUAUUUAAUUGUGCUAUUAAAUUACUAUAGAAGGGAUAUUCUGUCUAAGGAAAGACUUGGUAUUUAAGAGAUCCAUGUGAUCCACCUCUCUUCCCUGGGAAUUGAACUUUGUGUGAUUUUUUAGUACAAUAAUUUACACGCUUCCGACCCUAUUGGAACAACAAGUGGUAUCAGAGCCUAAGGUUAAUCGUAGUAUGCUCUGUGGUUGCAGUUUAAACUGAUCUUCCACAUCAGAAAAGAUUUCCUUAGGUAUAUUGAAAGAUUAUGGAGAAAACGGUCGGUGUAGGAGCUUCAACAUCGUCCAUGUAGACAAGACCGACAAUUGCAAAUGCAAGAUUGGCCGUGGAGAUCUUUGAUGGCACGGGCCAUUUUGGUAUGUGGCAAAGUGAGGUUCUAGAUGCCCUUUUUCAGCAGGGUCUAGACAUUGCCAUUGAUGAAGAGAAACCAGAUGAUGUACAGGAGAAAGAUUGGAAGGCGAUCAAUCGGUUGGCAUGUGGCACAAUUCGAUCAUGCCUUUCUCGAGAGCAGAGGUAUGCUUUUUCAAAGGAGACUUCUGCAAAUAAGUUGUGGGUGGCACUUGAAGAAAAAUUUUUGAAGAAAAACAGUCAAAAUAAGCUCCACUUGAAGAAAAGACUGUUUCGCUUCACAUACGUCCCAAGUACCACAAUGAAUGAUCACAUCACCAAAUUUAAUCAGUUAGUCACUGAUUUACUGAAUAUGGAUGAGACAUUCAAAGAUGAAGAUUUGGCUUUGAUGCUGUUGGGGUCACUUCCUGAGGAGUUUGAGUUCCUAGAAACUACUCUACUUCAUGGCAGGAGUGAUAUAUCUCUGAGCGAAGUCUGUGCGGCCUUAUACAGUUAUGAACAGAGAAAGAAGGACAAACAUAAAAACUCAAUCAGAGAUACAGAAGUUUUAGUAGUCCGAGGUCGUUCAUACACUCGGAAGAAAACUCAAAAGGGGAGAUCAAAGUCAAAGUUCAGACUCGGGAAAGAUGAAUGUGCUUUUUGUCAUGAGAAAGGCCACUGGAAGAAAAAUUGUCCAAAGCUGAAGAAUAAGGGAAAAGCUGCUGUAGAUGCUUGUGUUGUAAAGCAUGAUACCAGUGACUCUAAACUAUCACUGGUUGCAUCAUCAUCGUUGUUCCAUUCAGAUGAGUGGAUAUUGGAUUCGGGUUGUACCUAUCAUAUGUCCCCUAACCGGGAGUGGUUCUCUGAUUUAGUAGAACUAAAUGGAGGAGUUGUUUAUAUGGGCAAUGACAAUGCCUGUAAAACUGUUGGGAUAGGUUCAAUCCAAUUAAAGAAUAAAGAUGGAUCAACCAGAGUUCUGACUAAUGUUCGGUACGUGCCCAGUUUGAAGAAAAAUCUCAUCUCAUUGGGAGCCUUGGAAUCCAAUGGUUCAGUUGUUACUAUGAGAGAUGUGAUUUUGAAAGUGACAUCUGGCGCACUUGUGAUAUUGAAGGGCAUCAGAAAAAAUAACUUGUAUUACUACCAAGGUAGUACAGUUAUUGGAGCAGUCUCUGCAGCUUCCGGCAACAAAGAAUUGGACUCAAUACAGUUGUGGCAUAUGAAGUUGAGACAUGCCAGCGAAAAAUCCUUGCAAAUUCUGGCAAAGCAAGGAUUGUUGAAAGGUGCAAAGGCUUGCAAAUUAAAAUUUUGCGAGCAUUGUGUUCUGGGAAAGCAAAAAAGAGUGAAAUUCGGUACUGCUAUCCAUAAUAAAAAUGGUAUUUUGGAAUACGUUCACUCAGAUGUGUGGGGGCCUUCCAAGACACCUUCAUUGGGAGGAAAACACUACUUUGUUACUUUUGUUGAUGACUUUUCCAGAAGAGUUUGGGUGUAUACCAUGAGAACUAAGGAUGAAGUGCUUAGAGUUUUUCUUAAAUGGAAAACUAUGAUCGAAAACCAGACUGGCAAGAAAAUCAAGUGGCUUAGGACGGACAAUGGAGGGGAAUAUAAAAGUGAUCCGUUCUUCGAUGUGUGCCAAGAGUAUGGUAUUGUUCGACACUUCACAGUUAGGGAUACACCACAGCAGAAUGGAUUGGCAGAGCGUAUGAAUCGAACAUUGCUGGAGAAAGUUCGAUGUAUGUUGUCCAAUGCUGGGUUGGGCAAGCAAUUUUGGGCUGAGGCUGUGACAUACGCUGGCCAUCUUGUUAAUCGUUUGCCAUCAUCUGCAUUAGAAAGAAAAACUUCUAUGGAGGUAUGGUCUGGAAAACCGGCUACAGAUUAUGAUUCCUUACAUGUGUUUGGAACCACUGCAUAUUACCAUGUGAAGGAGUCAAAGUUAGAUCCGAGGGCAAAGAAAGCUCUCUUUAUGGGAAUCACUUCUGGAGUGAAGGGAUUUCGACUUUGGUGCUUAAGCAUAAAGAAAAUGAUCUGUAGCAGAGAUGUUACCUUUGAUGAAUCUGCCACAUUGAAAAAGGUAGCAGAUAAAGAUAUUCAGAUGAGCAAUACUCCACAGCAGGUAGAGUGUACUCCAAAACAGGUGGAGUUUGAGCAGAUGGGGAUUUGCCCAGUUAAUAAGUCUAAUUCUCCAGCCACAAUGGAGGAAUUAGAGGUUGAAAAGGUUCUGACCCAAGAACCACUAAGUACACCAGAACCAGUUGCAGUUGCAAGGCCACGGAGAGAAAUUUGUAAACCUACUCGAUUUACUGAUAUGGUGGCCUACGCCCUUCCCGUUGUUGAUGAUAUUCCUAUCACUUAUCAAGAAGCAAUGCAAAGCUUAGAAAGUGAUAAAUGGAAAAGCGCCAUGGAUGAAGAAAUGCAGUCUCUCCGGAAGAACAAUACUUGGGAGUUGGCGCAAUUACCGAAAGGUAAAAGGGCAAUCGGAUGCAAGUGGGUAUUCGCAAAGAAAGAUGGAUCUCCUAGCAAGAAGGAUAUUCGCUACAAGGCAAGAUUGGUAGCUAAAGGCUACGCUCAGAAAGAGGGAAUUGACUACAAUGAUGUAUUUUCCCCUGUUGUGAAGCAUUCUUCCAUUAGAAUUUUGUUGGCCUUGGUAACACAGUUGAAUUUGGAGCUAGCUCAACUUGAUGUUAAGACGGCUUUCUUGCAUGGUGAGUUAGAAGAGGAGAUCUAUAUGACUCAGCCAGAAGGAUACACAGAUACUGGUGGUAGAAAUUGGGUUUGUAAGCUUAACAAAUCGCUAUUUGGAUUGAAGCAAUCCCCGAGGCAGUGGUACAAGCGAUUUGAUAGCUUUAUGAGAAGGCAGAAGUACACAAGAAACAAAUAUGACAAUUGUGUAUAUUUGCAGAAGUUGCAUGACGGAUCUUUCAUUUAUCUACUCUUGUAUGUUGAUGAUAUGUUAAUCACUUCGAAGAGCCAAAAUGAGAUAGAUAAGCUGAAGGCUCAGUUGAAUCAAGAGUUCGAGAUGAAAGAUCUAGGUGAGGCCAAGAAGAUUCUCGGCAUGGAGAUAAGUAGAGAUAGACCGAGAGGCAAGCUCUGUUUAAAUCAGAAACAAUAUCUGAAAAAGGUAUUACAAUGUUUUGGUGUAAAUGAAAACACAAAACAUGUAAGUACCCCACUUGCUUCUCAUUUGAAACUUAGUGCUCAAUUAUCUCCGAAGACUGAAGAUGAAAGAGAAUAUAUGGUGAAAGUCCCAUAUGCUAAUGCAGUUGGGAGUUUGAUGUAUGCGAUGGUGUGUACGAGGCCUGACAUUUCACAAGCUGUUGGAGUUGUGAGCAGGUAUAUGCAUGAUCCUGGAAAAGGACAUUGGCAAGCUGUGAAAUGGAUUCUACGGUAUCUUCGAAAAACCGUAGAUGUUGGUUUAAUUUUUGAACAGGAUGAAGCACUUGGUCAGUUUGUAGUUGGAUAUGUUGAUUCCGACUUUGCUGGUGAUUUAGAUAAACGUCGUUCAACUACGAGGUAUCUGUUUACUCUUGCGAAAGCCCCAGUGAGUUGGAAGUCUACCUUACAGUCUACAGUAGCUAUGUCUACUACAGAUGCAGAAUAUAUGGCAGUUACAGAAGCUGUUAAGGAGGCUAUUUGGCUUAAUGGAUUGUUGAAAGACUUAGGAGUUGUUCAAAGUCACAUAAGUUUAUAUUGUGACAGUCAGAGCGCUAUUCAUUUAGCGAAAAAUCAAGUCUAUCAUUCAAGAACCAAGCAUAUCGACGUAAGAUAUCACUUUGUGCGGGAAGUCUUUGAAAAAGGAAAAAUUCUACUUCAGAAGAUUCCGACAGCAAAUAAUCCCGCAGAUAUGAUGACCAAGGUGGUAACAACAAUCAAGUUUAAUCAUUGUUUGAACUUGAUUAACAUCCUGAGAAUUUGAGCACCUUUAGGUGUAUGGCGCUCGAGAGUGCAUUUGUAGGCACUACAAAAGAUAGCUUUAUCGAAUUUGGGGGGUUGAAGGAAGUGUGUGAAGAUGUGAUUAUCCUAAUCAAAUCUUCAAGGUGGAGAUUGUUAACGUUAAUGGGAGACAACAUUAAUGGCAAACAAUACAAAGUGGUGCAAGUUUAGCACCCUAAAGUUGACUUUGAAAAAGUGGCAUGGGAUAAUUUUUUUUUGGUCCUUGAGAUAAUGGGCUAUUUAUUGUUUGGUCCUUAAACCUCAACUAUAAAUAGGCCUUCUCAUUUCUCAUUUCAAUUCAUCCCAACCAAUCUUUCUCUCUUAGUUUUCUCUCUUCUCCCAUUUGAGAAUUCUUAAGGAAUUCUAUUUGUUUGUAAUACUUUGGAGAUAGUAAAGUUAUCAUCUGGUGUUAGUGCCCGAGGACGUAGGUAUAAUUUACCGAACCUCGUUAAAACUCUUUUGUUCUUUCUUGUCCUAUUUUUCUUUCAAUAUUUGAGGGUAUAAUAGUAGUAUUUAAUUGUGCUAUUAAAUUACUAUAGAAGGGAUAUUCUGUCUAAGGAAAGACUUGGUAUUUAAGAGAUCCAUGUGAUCCACCUCUCUUCCCUGGGAAUUGAACUUUGUGUGAUUUUUUAGUACAAUAAUUUACACGCUUCCGACCCUAUUGGAACAACAAUUUUUUGAAUCGGAUUGAAAAAGAUCGGCUCUUAAGGAAUUAUCUAAUGCGUCUUUUGAGUUAAAGAAUGAAGAUGGGACUAAAGGUCCAAUACCAACUGUCUUGAACUUUUCAAUGGCGUUUAAUGCUUCGUGUUCCAAAGCAUCGAAGGUGUUAAUAAGGAUUUUAGCGUUGGGUUCUUCUGCGAGGACGUCCAUUUGUUCUUGGAACAACGACAGUGCCGACUGGUAAACGGUUGAAGCGAUGACGAACGAUGGAAGGUCGCGGGUGAAGAGUGGCGGCAGACCUGGUAAUUUUAUCGAACACUUGGGGUUUGUUUCAUCAGCUUGAGCUUUAAUGGCGGAUUCGUAUCCGUUGAAGUAAAAAUAAUAGAUGUCGAAAACGGUGGCGGGUUGAAUCCAGAGUAAAGCUGACGGGAUGUGAUGUUUACACGCCACCUCCGCAGCCCAAUGAAGGAGUAAAGAGUAGACAAUGCAAGUAAUGGGUUUACCUUCGUUUUCACUACUUGUUAUAAACUCAGAGAUGGCAUCUUUGCCUCGUCGCUAAAAUUCAGACAAGUAAUGGUCUGUGUCAUCGCCGGGUUUAAUUCCGUCAUCGUAGCCAUCUGAAAAAGGUAAAAACGAUAGGCCUUCAGCGGUGGGGACUUUGGUCAUGCGGCGGCUGGCGGAGAUGCUGGUGAUGUAAGUUACACGUACGCCGAUACGAAUAAGAUGCUUGGCGAAUUGUAAGGUCGGGUUUAUGUGGCCUUGUGCAGGAUAGGUCAAUACGAUGAAAUGAGGUUGUGGCAUGAUGGUGACGGCGGCGCGUGGGUAGUGAAUUAUCCUUUCUCUUUUUACUAAUUUGGAGUAAUUCGUGAAGAAAAUUAAUGGGUUUUUAUAGUGAUGAGAGGAAUUCAUAAAAGGUGGCGUUUGAGCUGACGAAUUUCAUAGAUUCCUAAACCUUUUUGGAUUUAUCUGGUGUUUUUUUAAAGCUUAGGUUGCAGCUUGAUGCAUGAUGCUGUCAGAGACAGUUUCAGACUACACGAGUCUUGGGGGUUUGAACUUGAUUCACCAAUUAUAAUUUAGGUUAAACUAAACCCCAACACUAAACUAGUAAGUUUAUAUUUGGUUAAACUACCUACCAAGUUAUCCAUCUAUGCGUAAACUUUUUUUUUACUCACUCAAUUUUUAAAACUUUCGAAAUGGUCACUCAAUUAAUUGAGUUCGAUAUUUUUGAUCCAUAUCCCUUAAGCAUUGUUAAAUGCCUUAUCUUUGCAUAUCUGGUAGAUUAGGUAUUUGUAAAGUUGAGGGUUAAUUUUUAAAAAUUAUGAUUAGAUUGACAUAAAAUAUAAAUUUUGAUGGCUAAAUUUGUUAUUAUACUAAUUUUAAAGUGUUACCUCAACCUCGUGUCAAGCCCUUAACUGAAAUGGACCAAAAAAUAAAUUUGAUUAGUUAGGUGACAAUUUGAAAGUUUUAAAAGUUGAGUGAAAAAAAAAAGAAACUUAAACAUAUUUGAGUGGCUUGCAAUGUAGUUUAGCUUUUAUAUUUUGAUUACUCAACUUUAAAAUUUUACAAAAUGGCCACUGAGCUAUUUGAAAGUUUUCAUUUAAGUAACUAAAUUAUUCGAAGUUUUUAUUUAAGUCACUAGGCUGUUAAAUAUUUUUUUUAAGUCCGGCUAGCAAGCUCUAAGUAGGGGUGAUAUCAGUUCGGUUUGGUUGAGUUUUUUGAGUUUUUCAAUUCUUUUGAAUUGUCCAUCAUAAUUCGGUUUGGCUCGGUUUAGUUUUUCUAUAUUAAUUUUUUAUUUUGAUUUUUUAAAUUUAUUUUGAUAAAAUGAGCUUUGUUUUAUGACUUUUGAAUAUUAUUUGACAAAAUUUCAAGGCUUUUUUAUAAAUAUUUCUAAAAUACACUAAUCUUUUAAAAACUUUUAAAUAAUUUACACUAUUUUAAAUAUAAAAUAUUUAUUUUUAUAUCAUAAAAAAUAAAAUGAAUUAUAUAUUAAAUAAAAAACACAAUUCAGUUUAGUUUCAUGUAACUGCAAUUUUUAAACUUGCAUUCCAUAAAUCGUCUAAAUACCUCGAUUUGGGUCAAUUUUCGAUUUGGUUAGUUUAUUUGCACAACCUUAGCUCUAAGCGACUAUUCGACGAUUGAUACAGUGAAUUAGUACACAUUGAUAAGUAAAAAAAACAUACUUUAAAUCAAAAUUUAUCUAGCGGUUAGUGUCAGAGAUCGAAGAAGAAAGUUGUUUAAAUUUUGAUUUGCAAAUUUGUGGCGUUCAAAACUGUUUCAUGAAAAAAAAUUGAAAUAUGGAAAAGAAGAGAAAAGAGAUCUUUCGGUUGGUGCAGGCAUUGCAAGCGGAGAAGGCCAUACAAUAACAGUUUUAAUAAUCCAUCAAAUUAAAUGAAAAUUUUUAAAUAGUUUAAUGACCAUUUUAUAGUUUUUUUAAGCUAAUUGAUCAAAACAUAAAUUUACUAAUAAUUUAGCAACCUUGAAUGUAGUUUACUCAAAUUAUUAAUAAUGAUGAUUUUUUUUAUGGAAUUUUGAUUGAAUUUUAUUAAUUAAUUUUAAAAAAAUUAUAAAUCCAAGUAACUUUAGUGAGAAUCUACUCUUUUUUGAUACAAUGCUUAGAACUACCCAUAACCCUCCCCACCUUUAAAUAGGAGAACAAACUAGAACUCACAUCCUCCUACACUGACAACAAUGCCGAUGCUAAUCAAAUUAAGACUCAAUUGACAACUACAUCAACUUUUAAUUAUUCAUAUUACGUGAAAGCAAUUUUUGGUGAAAGUUAUAGUGAAAGUUAUCAUAUUGGUGAUUAGGUGUGAUUGACCAUAGAGUUAUAAUUAUUAUAGUACCAAGAAAAGUUAACCGAGUUGAUUAGGGUGUGAGAUGAAUAAAUUAAUUUUUCAAAAUUUUAAUAGUAAGAAUGGAAGAAUAUUUUUUAAAUUAAGAUUAAUUUAUCCAUUUUUUAGUAAAGAGAAUAAAAUUUAUAACUAUAAUUGUAAAUUUUAAGUUUUGGUCCUUCUAUUACGGUUACAUUUAAGAUUUAAUUUUUUAAAGUAAGAUUUAAUCUUUAUAAUUAAAUUUCGCAUAAUUUGAUUGUCUAUUUUUACAAAAUGAUAUCAGGUAGUUGAAAUAAUUAACAUGCUUUUAACUAUUCUAAUUAAUUUUUUUAUUUUUUAUAAAAAUAUUAUUCUAUAAAAAAUAGCUUUUACAUAAUGAAUCAGAAUAAAUGUUAUUAAAAAUAUUCACAUCAACUACUAAAAAUAUUAAGGGUGCUAAUUAUUUGGGCUAACUAAUGAUACGACCUUUUUUCCAGUCAUUAUAGGAUAAUGAUAAAAUUGUAAUUUUUAUCUCUCUAUUAUGCUCGCAUUUGAGAUUUAAUAUUUAUAUUUUAAUUUGACAUAGUUUGAUUCUCUACUUUUAUAAUGACAUCAAUUAUCCUAAAUAAUUAACAUUUUUAACUAUAUCGAUUAGAAUGAUUACAUGAAUAUCUCAUAAAAACACCUUUCAAUACAAUAUAUAUAUUUCUCCAUAAAGUUCGAAUGGGUAUUUUUUAGGAAAAAUUGACCUCAACAUUUUGACCAGAAUAAUUAAAGGUAACAACUAUUUCAACUAACUAAUAUUAUUAUGUAGAGGAACCAAAUUAUAUAAAAUUAAAGAAUAGAUAUUAAAUUUUAUAUUUAAACAUAGUAGAGAGACCAUAAUCAUAAUUUAAUCUAAAACAAAUUAUCCUUAAUACAAUAUGAAGAUAUUGACUAUAAAAAAUUAAAAUUUCAUUCGAUUCCUAAAAAAUUAUUCUAACUUCAUCCUUUCCUAUUAUAAUUUUCAAACUUUACGUUACAUUGUUUUCUUAAAUAUUGGGUAUAUUAUAAUAUAUAUAUUCGGCUUUUAAUUUGUCACAAAUAAAUUUUUUAACUUUGUUAUUAAUAAUAAAAAUGGAUAGUUUUAAAAAAAUUAAUUUAUCUUGAGUGUGACAACGUGAUGAAAGUUUGUCCACACAAAAUCCGAAAGGAUUUCAAGGAUCUUCAACUUCGUCAGCCCAAACGUCACCUUUUUUCAGUGCCUCCCAUCACUUACAAAAACGCUUUGAUUUCCUUUCUUAGUUACUCCAAAUCCGACGUUCGUAGAGAAAGACCAAGUGAACUACCUACGAGCCGCCAUCACCACCAUGUCACAGCCUCAUUUCCUCCUAGUGGCCUCCCCUGCACAAGGCCACAUAAACCCAACCUUACAAUUUGCCAAGCAUCUUAUACGUAUUGGCGUACGUGUAACUUUCAUCACCUGCAUCUCCGCUCGCAGCCGCAUGACCAAAGUCCCCACUGCUCAAGGCCUAACGUUUUUACCCUUUUCCGAUGGCUACGACGACGGUUUUCAACUCCGCGAUGACAUCGACCAUUACCUAUCUGAAUUGAGGCGACGAGGCAAAGAAGCUAUCUCCGAGUUUUUAACAAGCAGUGAAAACGAAGGCAAACCCGUCACUUGCAUUGUCUACAGCCUGUUCAACCAUUGGGCCACGGAGGUGGCGCGUAAACAUCACAUCCCGACAACUUUACUUUGGAUUCAACCCGCCACCGUUUUUGACAUCUAUUAUUUUUACUUCAACGGAUACGAAUCCACCAUUAAAGCUCAAGCUGAUGAAACAAACCCCAAGCGUUCAAUAAAAUUACCAGGUCUGCCGCUACUCGCUACCCGCGACCUUCCGUCGUUCGUAACCGCUUCAAACGUUUACCGUUGGGGACCGUCGUUGAUCCAAGAACAAAUGGACAUCCUCGCUGAUGAAUCCAACCCCAAAAUCCUUGUUAACACCUUCGAUGCUUUGGAACAAGAAGCAUUAAACGCCAUUGAAAAUUUCAACAUGAUCGGCAUCGGACCUUUAAUCCCAUCUUCUUUCUUGAACUCAAGUGACUCCUUGGAUAAUUCCUUGAGAACCGAUCUUUUUCAACCCGAUUCAAAAGAUUACCUCCAAUGGUUAGACUCCAAACCAAAAUCGGCUGUCGUUUACGUUUCCUUCGGGAGCAUUACGGUGUUAACGAAGCAACAAGUGGAGGAAAUCGCUCGAGCUUUAAUAUCCAGCCGGCGACCUUUUUUAUGGGUGGUGAGGAACCGGAA